Molecule: ribosomal RNA, 766 nt
Filed under: uncultured organism
Description: bacterial SSU rRNA
Rfam family: Bacterial small subunit ribosomal RNA
Source: RNAcentral
UAGGUUGAUUAUUAAGUCAGUGGUGAAAAUUCCGGGCUCAACCCGGGACUUGCCGUUGAAACUGAUAAUCUUGAGUGUAACUGAUGUGGGCGGAAUGUGUCAAGUAGCGGUGAAAUGCAUAGAUAUGACACAGAACACCGAUAGCGAAGGCAGCUCACAAAAUUACAACUGACACUGAGGCACGAAAGCGUGGGUAUCAAACAGGAUUAGAUACCCUGGUAGUCCACGCUGUAAACGAUGAUCACUAGCUGUUUGCGAUACAUUGUAAGUGGUUAAGCGAAAGCGAUAAGUGAUCCACCUGGGGAGUACGUCGGCAACGAUGAAACUCAAAGGAAUUGACGGGGGCCCGCACAAGCGGAGGAGCAUGUGGUUUAAUUCGAUGAUACGCGAGGAACCUUACCUGGGCUUGAACGUAAGGUGCAUGAGUGUGAAAGCACUCUUUCCUUCACAGGACUUCAUACGAGGUGCUGCAUGGUUGUCGUCAGCUCGUGCCGUGAGGUGUUAGGUUAAGUCCUGCAACGAGCGCAACCCCUGUUUUUAGUUGCCAGCAGGUUAUGCUGGGCACUCUAGAAAGACUGCCUGCGCAAGCAGAGAGGAAGGUGGGGAUGACGUCAAAUCAGCACGGCCCUUACGUCCAGGGCUACACACGUGCUACAAUGGUCGGCACAGAGGGUGGCUACCCGGCAACGGGAUGCUAAUCUCCAAAGUCGAUCUUAGUUCGGAUCGAAGUCUGCAACUCGACUUCGUGAAGUUGGAUUCGCUAGUA